RNAcentral lists this non-coding RNA (135 nucleotides) under Desulfosporosinus meridiei. RNAcentral's name for it is "MoCo sequence". It matches the Rfam family "Molybdenum/Tungsten riboswitch aptamer (Moco RNA motif)". The record is from RNAcentral. Lineage: Bacteria; Bacillati; Bacillota; Clostridia; Eubacteriales; Desulfitobacteriaceae.
UAAAUAGUAAAUCUCCGAGCCAGUCUGACCUAAGGAUCAAAGUCUACGGUCGCUGGACAGGACUUUAGAUCCUCAGGGUAUUCUUGGAAACAGGUAUGCCUUCACUUUUUGAAAAGGAGUACAGGUGUAAUGCUA